Molecule: long non-coding RNA, 2403 nt
Filed under: Betta splendens (Siamese fighting fish)
Lineage: Eukaryota; Metazoa; Chordata; Actinopteri; Anabantiformes; Osphronemidae
Description: lncRNA (ENSBSLG00000000530.1)
Source: RNAcentral
CAAUUCUCGUGUUCGACAGCUACUGACUUUCUGGUUUUCUAACUCUCUUUGCUGAUUACCUUGAUCAGAUGGGUUAGUUAGUUGCUGCUUUACUGAACAAACCUGGUCUAGGUAUUCAGUAUCAGCUGGGAAAGGGGGAGUUGUGAAACCAGCAGGACAGUAGCUCUCGAGGACCAGGAUUGGGCAACCCUCCUUUAAGCAACUGCACACGAAUGCUACUGACUAGUACAUUUCAUUGUUUCUGUCAAUCUACAUGCUGUCAUACUUGUGCUUUUGCAGUAUUGAAUGAAACAAAUCCAACAGCUGUGGUCCCCAACCUGACUACUACGGAAGCCACUCAACAAACACCCAUCAGUGCUACACCAGCUCCAACAACAGAGACUACAGCAGCUACUUCGACUGCUUCAGGAACCACAACAUUUGUUCUUGUCUCAGCUGUCUUGAAUACACCAUAUGAACCACAACUCAAUGACAGCAGCAGUGUUGAGUUCAAGACUCUUGAAACAGAAGUUGUACAAAUUGUGAGUACCAUGUCAAAAUGGUUACGUGGCUUCAUAAAUGCCCAAGUGGAUGAAUUCAACGUGACAAUCUUGAUUAUUGUAUUUAGAUAAUGAAACAUUUGUAAUAUGUUUGCACUUUUCUAUCUGCUUUCCUCCCUCAGUGGGACAUCGUCUACAGUGCCAGAUAUUAUUAUCUUUUUGUCCGUGCCUAUGUCGUAGAAUUCAGGUAAGGUUUUAACUUAUUUUUCGCUUUAUUGUAGGUGCUGUUCUCCAGUAUCAUGAGUGUUGUAUUCCAAAGAACCCCAUUUCAUGGAGCAAUUGCACACAUCAUUAAUGACUGUCAAUAUGAUGUCCUUGAAAUGUUCUGCUGUUUUUUGCAGACAAUAUGUCACAACAACAACAACAACAAAGACUCUUACUGAAGUAGAAGUGGUGGUUGAGUUCAAUGACCAUGCUGCACCUGGAGAAACCCCACAGGCUAGUGAUGUGGCAAAAACAUUAGGAAAUGCUGUGUCCAAUCCCAACAACACCUUCAAUCUCACUGUUGAUUCCACUACCAUCCAAGCAGUUGUAUUGAAUGAAACAAAUCCAACAGCUGUGGUCCCCAACCUGACUACUACGGAAGCCACUCAACAAACACCCAUCAGUGCUACACCAGCUCCAACAACAGAGACUACAGCAGCUACUUCGACUGCUUCAGGAACCACAACAUUUGUUCUUGUCUCAGCUGUCUUGAAUACACCAUAUGAACCACAACUCAAUGACAGCAGCAGUGUUGAGUUUAAGACUCUUGAAACAGAAGUUGUACAAAUUGUGAGUACCAUGUCAAAAUGGUUACGUGGCUUCAUAAAUGCCCAAGUGGAUGAAUUCAACGUGACAUUCUUGACUAUUGUAUUUAGAUAAUGAAACAUUUGUAAUAUGUUUGCACUUUUCUAUCUGCUUUCCUCCCUCAGUGGGACAUCGUCUACAGUGCCAGAUAUUAUUAUCUUUUUGUCCGUGCCUAUGUCGUAGAAUUCAGGUAAGAAUUUAACUUGCUUUUCGCUUUAUUGUAGGUGCUAUUCUCCAGUAUCAUGAGUGUUGUAUUCCAAAGAACCCCAUUUCAUGGAGCAAUUGCACACAUCAUUAAUGACUGUCAAUAUGAUGUCCUUGAAAUGUUCUGCUGUUUUUUGCAGACAAUAUGUCACAACAACAACAACAACAAAGACUCUUACUGAAGUAGAGGUGGUGGUUGAGUUCAAUGACCAUGCUGCACCUGGAGAAACCCCACAGGCUAGUGAUGUGGCAAAAACAUUAGCAAAUGCUGUGUCCAAUCCCAACAACACCUUUAAUCUCACUGUUGAUUCCACUACCGUCCAAGCAGUUGGUAAGUAAGCUGUUGCCCUAAAUCCUAAACCAUGGGUAAAUACUUUUUCUGUUCUCAGCGCCAUCUAAAAAGAUGGUUGGCUCAAGAAAGAGCAUGCAGAAGCAGAAUAAUCAAAAAGGCCAAAAUGAGCAAGACUUCAUGCCAGCGUUGUCCAAUCCUCACGUUCGACAGCUACUGUCUUUCUGGUUUUCUAACUAUCUGCUGAUUACCUUGAUCAGAUGGGUUAGUCAGUUGCUGCUUUACUGAACAAACCUGGUCUAGGUAUUCAGUAUCAGCUGGGAAAGGGAGAGUUGUGAAACCAGCAGGACAGUAGCUCUCGAGGACCAGGAUUGGGCAACCCUGCUUUAAGCAACUGCACACGAAUGCUACUGACUAGUACAUUUCAUUGUUUCUGUCAAUCUACAUGCUGUCAUACUUGUGCUUUUGCAGUAUUGAAUGAAACAAAUCCAACAGCUGUGGUCCCCAACCUGACCACUACGGAAGCCACUCAACAAACACCCAUCAGUGCUACACCUGCUCCAACAACAGAGACUACAGCGG